GAGACGUAUACAUUAACGGUGCA
This 23-nucleotide non-coding RNA is filed under the name Gossypium hirsutum (cotton). The record is from RNAcentral. Lineage: Eukaryota; Viridiplantae; Streptophyta; Magnoliopsida; Malvales; Malvaceae.